AAAAAAGUGCCUGCAAACCCACUGCCAAAUUCAAAGCCCUUUGUUGCAGGUAGUGACAAGGCAGCUUUAGCCAGCUCAGCUUCAAGUUUGUCAAAGACUGGUGAACCAAGCCCACGUGGGGCAUUCCUCACAAUGCAUGUGACCACUCCACCAACAGAAUCCCCUCUUACUCGGACAGUGUCAAUGGCAGCAAUCAUCUUCUCUGCAUAUUCAGGAUCUGGACACCUGACGAUGUUGCUCUCUAUCUGAUCAAUUGUCAGAGACUGGUGAUCAAUCUGGUCCUCUGGAAGUACCACCUGGUGAACUUGGGAGACAUAAGCAAGAAUCUCAGUUCCAGAAAAUUGCCUGAGAAUUUUCUUUGCAAUAGCUCCCGAUGCAACUCUUCCAAUAGUCUCUCUUGCUGAAGAUCUACCCCCACCCUGGACAGAUCUGACACCAUACUUCAGGUCAUAAGUUGCAUCCGCAUGAGAAGGCCUAUAAGCUACUGACAUUUCACUGUAAUCAUGUCCUCUUUGAUCUGUAUUGGGUACAAACACAUGGAUGGGUGUUCCAGUAGUCACUCCUUCAGAGACACCUGAAUAUAUUUUGCAUGUAUCAGUCUCUUUUCUAGGGGUGGUAAUUCGACUCUGACCUGGCCUCCUCCUAUCCAGAUCAACUUGCAAAUCAGCUUCUGAUAGAGGGAUACGAGGAGGGCAUCCAUCAACGAUACAACCAACGCCACCUCCAUGAGACUCUCCAAAAGUUGUAACACGAAAGUAAGUACCAUAUGUACUCCCCGCAGCAUGUAUUUGGAGCUUUUUGGGGGUUCGUGGGCGGAAGGAGAUCUGGACUGUGGCGAUAGAGAGGUCCCGGAGGUUGGAAAGCGAGGAAGACCCAUCAAGCCGGUAAGCCCCAAGGAAA
This 900-nucleotide unclassified non-coding RNA is filed under the name Hevea brasiliensis (rubber tree). Lineage: Eukaryota; Viridiplantae; Streptophyta; Magnoliopsida; Malpighiales; Euphorbiaceae. The record is from RNAcentral.